UUAAGGGUGCAGGGCGGAUGCCUUGGCACUAGGAGCCGAUGAAGGACGUGAUAAGCUGCGAUAAGCUUCGGGGAGUUGCACGUAAACUUUGAUCCGAAGAUUUCCGAAUGAGGAAACUCACUUAGAGUAAUGUCUAAGUAUCAUUAAGUGAAUACAUAGCUUAAUGAGGGGAACUCAGGGAACUGAAACAUCUAAGUACCUGAAGGAAGAGAAAGAAAUUCGAUUCCGUAAGUAGCGGCGAGCGAACGCGGAUUAGCCCAAACCAAUAAAGUUUUCUUUAUUGGGGUUG
RNAcentral lists this ribosomal RNA (289 nucleotides) under Clostridioides difficile. RNAcentral's name for it is "partial 23S ribosomal RNA". It matches the Rfam family "Bacterial large subunit ribosomal RNA", at positions 11 to 300 of the family's 2925-position model. Lineage: Bacteria; Bacillati; Bacillota; Clostridia; Peptostreptococcales; Peptostreptococcaceae. The record is from RNAcentral.